CGCCACCAUUUUGUGCCACCCUUUUUGCCCCCUGCCGCCAUUUUGUGCCACUGUCUUGCCCCCGCCACCAUUUGCUGCUGCUGUUUUGUCCCCUGCCGCCAUUUUGUGCCACGAUGUCACCCUGCCGCCAUUUUGCGCUGCUGUUUCGCCCCCCGCUGCCAUUUUGCGCCGCUAUUUCUCCCCUCCGUCGCCAUUUUGCCCCGUGCUGCCAUUUUGCCCCACCAUUUUGCCCCACGGUGCCAUUUGGCGCCACCAUUUCGCCCCCUGCCACCAUUUUGUGCCACCAUUUCCUCCUCCACCACCAUUUUGUGCCCUCGUUUCACCCCCGCCACCAUUUUGUGCCUUCGUUUCGCCCCUUGCCACCAUUUUGUGCCUUCGUUUCACCCCCUGCCGCCAUUUUGCACCACCGUUUCGCCCCGGCUGCCAUUUUGUGCCCUCGUUUCACCCCUUGCCAUCAUUUUGUGCCCUCCUUUCGCCCCCCCCGCCGCCAUUUUGCACCACUGUUUCGCCCCGGCUGCCAUUUUGUGCCCUCAUUUCGCCCCCCGCCACCAUUUUGUGCCCUCGUUUCGCCCUUUGCCGCCAUUUUGCACCACCGUUUCUCCCCGGCUGCCAUUUUGUGCCCUCAUCUCCCCCGCCGCCGCCAUUUUGCGCCGUUGCCGUUGCGCCGCUGACGGCGCGGUGCCGCCGCCGCUCCCUUGGUCCCCGCCGCAGGCUUCUUCCUCCUGGGGGGCGCCUGCGUGGCGCAGGGCAGCGCCUCGUCGCUGCUGAGCCUGCUGCGGCUGC
This 783-nucleotide long non-coding RNA is filed under the name Apteryx owenii (little spotted kiwi). Its description in RNAcentral is "lncRNA (ENSAOWG00000019465.1)". The record is from RNAcentral. Lineage: Eukaryota; Metazoa; Chordata; Aves; Apterygiformes; Apterygidae.